UUAUUCGGAUAAUCGCGGUUUAUAAAUAAAGGUAAACUGAGGAAAGUCCAUGCUCGCACAGGCUGCGAUGCCUGUAGUGUUCGCGCUAGCUGAAAAAAUAAGGCUAGGUGUCUAGUAAACCUUUUUGACAGGUUUUAAGAAGAAAAUAGAUUCUUCUCAUCGUACUUUUAAUUUGCAAAAUGAUCUGUUUAGACAACGGCAGGAAAACGUGCUAAAGUUUUUUUAAACUAUGUACUAGUAUCCUUGAAAGUGCCACAGUGACGAAGCAUUUAAAGAAAUUCAAAUGGUGGAACGCGGUAAACCCCUCGAGCGAGCAACCCAAACUUUAAGGUAGGGGCAUCUUUGAAGCGAAAAUGAACGCAAAAAGGAGCAGUUUUUAUGAUGUAUAAGCGCAGAAAGAAAAAAUUGCAGAUAGAUGAUUAUCGCUUAUCUUUUUUCUCUUGAGAUUAGAUAAGUACAGAACAUGGCUUAUAGAA
Molecule: RNase P RNA, 476 nt
Filed under: Streptococcaceae bacterium
Lineage: Bacteria; Bacillati; Bacillota; Bacilli; Lactobacillales; Streptococcaceae
Description: RNase P RNA component class B
Rfam family: Bacterial RNase P class B
About the family: Ribonuclease P (RNase P) is a ubiquitous endoribonuclease, found in archaea, bacteria and eukarya as well as chloroplasts and mitochondria.
Source: RNAcentral